AAGGAUCAUUACAAGUGAGGCUACCGAACGUUGGAAACAGCGGUUAGGAGCUUACACCCACCCGUGUUUACAUACUAUUGUUGCUUUGGCGGGCCGUGGCCUCCACUGCGGGCUCUGCUCGUGUGUGCCCGCCAGAGAACCAAACUCUGAAUGUUAGUGAUGUCUGAGUACUAUCUAAUAGUUAAAACUUUCAACAACGGAUCUCUUGGUUCUGGCAUCGAUGAAGAACGCAGCGAAAUGCGAUAAGUAAUGUGAAUUGCAGAAUUCAGUGAAUCAUCGAAUCUUUGAACGCACAUUGCGCCCUGUGGUAUUCCGCAGGGCAUGCCUGUUCGAGCGUCAUUUAACCACUCACGCCUAGCGUGGUAUUGGGGCACGCGGUCUCCGCGGCCCUCAAAAUUAGUGGCGGCGCCGGUGGGCUCUAAGCGUAGUACAUACUCCCGCUAUAGAGUUCCCCCGGUGGCUCGCCAGAACCCCCAAUUUUUACAGGUUGACCUCGGAUCAGGUAGGGAUACCCGCUGAACUUAA
RNAcentral lists this unclassified non-coding RNA (525 nucleotides) under Ascomycota sp. KO-2013. RNAcentral describes it as "Phialocephala sp. KO-2013 partial contains ITS1, 5.8S rRNA and ITS2". The stretch from base 186 to 339 matches the Rfam family "5.8S ribosomal RNA". The record is from RNAcentral. Lineage: Eukaryota; Fungi; Ascomycota.